UGAUGUAGCUCAGUUGGUAGAGCAGCGCAUUCGUAAUGCGCAGGUCAUAGGUUCAAAUCCUACCAUCA
RNAcentral lists this transfer RNA (68 nucleotides) under bovine gut metagenome. It matches the Rfam family "tRNA". From Rfam's summary of the family: Transfer RNA (tRNA) molecules are approximately 80 nucleotides in length. The record is from RNAcentral.